ACACGUGCUACAAUGGUAUCUACAGUGGGUUAAUCCCCAAAAGAUAUCUCAGUUCGGAUUGUUCUCUGCAACUCGAGAGCAUGAAGUCGGAAUCGCUAGUAAUCGCGUAACAGCAUGACGCGGUGAAUACGUUCCCGGGCCUUGUACACACCGCCCGUCACACCAUGGGAGUUGGGUUUACCCGAAGACGGUGCGCCAACCUUUCGA
This 207-nucleotide ribosomal RNA is filed under the name Fabrea salina. RNAcentral's name for it is "partial Bacterial small subunit ribosomal RNA". It matches the Rfam family "Bacterial small subunit ribosomal RNA", at positions 1218 to 1446 of the family's 1533-position model. Lineage: Eukaryota; Ciliophora; Heterotrichea; Heterotrichida; Fabreidae. The record is from RNAcentral.